UUACUGCGGAGACAUUAUCGAGUUUUGAACGGGUUGUCUGCUGGCUCGCGAGAGCAUGUGCACGCCUGUCUUCAUCCACUCUCAACUUCUGUGCACUUUUCAUAGGCCGGCUUGUGGGUGCACGUUCGCGUGCGUCUGUAGGUCUGGUUUAUGCUUUACUACAAACGAAUCAGUUUUAGAAUGUCAUACUUUGCUAUAACGCAAUUAUAUACAACUUUCAGCAACGGAUCUCUUGGCUCUCGCAUCGAUGAAGAACGCAGCGAAAUGCGAUAAGUAAUGUGAAUUGCAGAAUUCAGUGAAUCAUCGAAUCUUUGAACGCACCUUGCGCUCCUUGGUAUUCCGAGGAGCAUGCCUGUUUGAGUCUCAUGGAAUUCUCAACCUUCGACUUUGUUGUCGGAGGCUUGGACUUGGAGGUCGUGUCGGCUCUCGUAGUCGACUCCUCUGAAAUGCAUUAGUGCGAACGUUACCAGCCGCUUCAGCGUGAUAAUUAUCUGCGUUGCUGUGGAGGGUAUGCUAGUGUUCGCGCUUCUAACCGUCUUCGGACAACAUUUCUAAACUCUGAGCUCAAAUCAGGUAGGACUACCCGCUGAACUUAAGCAUAUCAAAAGCCGGGAAGGAAUGA
RNAcentral lists this ribosomal RNA (622 nucleotides) under Bjerkandera sp. CLZ-2014. RNAcentral describes it as "eukaryotic LSU rRNA". The stretch from base 213 to 366 matches the Rfam family "5.8S ribosomal RNA". Lineage: Eukaryota; Fungi; Basidiomycota; Agaricomycetes; Polyporales; Phanerochaetaceae. The record is from RNAcentral.